UGGGGGAUCGUCUAGUGGUCGGACAACGGACUCUGACUCCGUUUACCUAGGUUCGAAUCCUAGUCCCCCAGCCA
Molecule: transfer RNA, 74 nt
Filed under: Gammaproteobacteria bacterium
Lineage: Bacteria; Pseudomonadati; Pseudomonadota; Gammaproteobacteria
Description: tRNA-Gln
Rfam family: tRNA
About the family: Transfer RNA (tRNA) molecules are approximately 80 nucleotides in length.
Source: RNAcentral